UCCUUUGACAACUCUAGAGAUAGAGCUUUCCCCUUCGGGGGACAAAGUGACAGGUGGUGCAUGGUUGUCGUCAGCUCGUGUCGKGAGAUGUUGGGUUAAGUCCCGCAACGAGCGCAACCCUUAUCUUUAGUUGCCAUCAUUAGGUUGGGCACUCUARAGAGACUGCCGGUGACAAACCGGAGGAAGGKGGGGAUGACGUCAAAUCMUCMUGCCCCUUAUGAUUUGGGCUACACACGUGCUACAAUGGAUGGUACAAAGGGCAGCAAAACCGCGAGGUCAAGCAAAUCCCAUAAAACCAUUCUCAGUUCGGAUUGUAGUCUGCAACUCGACUACAUGAAGCUGGAAUCGCUAGUAAUCGUAGAUCAGCAUGCUACGGUGAA
RNAcentral lists this ribosomal RNA (380 nucleotides) under Staphylococcus aureus. RNAcentral's name for it is "bacterial SSU rRNA". It matches the Rfam family "Bacterial small subunit ribosomal RNA", at positions 987 to 1366 of the family's 1533-position model. Lineage: Bacteria; Bacillati; Bacillota; Bacilli; Caryophanales; Staphylococcaceae. The record is from RNAcentral.